RNAcentral lists this ribosomal RNA (253 nucleotides) under uncultured bacterium. RNAcentral's name for it is "partial 16S ribosomal RNA". It matches the Rfam family "Bacterial small subunit ribosomal RNA", at positions 524 to 776 of the family's 1533-position model. The record is from RNAcentral.
UACAGAGGCCUCGAGCGUUAGGCGGAAUCACUGGGCUUAAAGCGUGUGUAGGUGGAUGCCUAAGUACCUUGUGAAAUCCCAUGGCUUAACCAUGGAAUUGCUUGGUAUACUGGGUGUCUUGAGCCACUCAGGGGCGAGCGGAACAAGCGGUGGAGCGGUGAAAUGCGUAGAUAUCGUUUGGAACGCCAAUGGUGAAGGCGACUCUCUAGCCUGUAACUGACGCUGAGACGCGAAAGCGUGGGGAGCGAACAGG